Eucalyptus grandis is the source of this 144-nucleotide non-coding RNA. Lineage: Eukaryota; Viridiplantae; Streptophyta; Magnoliopsida; Myrtales; Myrtaceae. The record is from Rfam.
CAGAAGAGACUGUCAACUUAGCCAAGAUUGACUACCUGCAUAAUCACACAAAAUUUUCUUAUUCAGAUUAUGAUCAUCUUCAACAAAGGCUCUCUGUAAGAUUUUAGGUAAGUCAUUCUUGGCUACUAAACAAAAGACUCUUCU